This 301-nucleotide ribosomal RNA is filed under the name uncultured bacterium. Its description in RNAcentral is "partial 16S ribosomal RNA". It matches the Rfam family "Bacterial small subunit ribosomal RNA", at positions 509 to 807 of the family's 1533-position model. The record is from RNAcentral.
CAGUAGCCGCGGGAAAACGAAGGGUGCAAGCGUUACUCGGAAUUACUGGGCGUAAAGCGUGCGUAGGUGGUUGUUUAAGUCUGCUGUGAAAGCCCUGGGCUCAACCUGGGAAUUGCAGUGGAUACUGGGCAACUAGAGUAAGGUAGAGGAUAGUGGAAUUUCCGGUGUAGCAGUGAAAUGCGUAGAGAUCGGAAGGAACAUCUGUGGCGAAGGCGACUAUCUGGGCCAUUACUGACACUGAGGCACGAAAGCGUGGGGAGCAAACAGGAUUAGAUACCCCAGUAGUCCCUGUCUCUUAUAC